CACUACGGAAUAGCUUUUGGAAACGAAAGGUAAUACCGUAUACGCCCUCCGGGGGAAAGAUUUAUCGGUGAAAGAUCGGUCCGCGUUAGAUUAGCUAGUUGGUGAGGUAACGGCUCACCAAGGCUACGAUCUAUAGCCGGUCUGAGAGGAUGAUCAGCCACACUGGAACUGAGACACGGUCCAGACUCCUACGGGAGGCAGCAGUGGGGAAUAUUGCACAAUGGGCGCAAGCCUGAUGCAGCCAUGCCGCGUGAAUGAUGAAGGCCUUAGGGUUGUAAAAUUCUUUCGCCAGGGAUGAUAAUGACAGUACCUGGUAAAGAAGCCCCGGCUAACUUCGUGCCAGCAGCCGCAGUAAUACGAAGGGGGCUAGCGUUGUUCGGAAUUACUGGGCGUAAAGCGCACGUAGGCGGACUUUUAAGUCAGAUGUGAAAUCCCGAGGCUCAACCUCGGAACUGCAUUUGAAACUGGGAGUCUAGAGAUCAGGAGAGGUUAGCGGAAUACUGAGUGUAGAGGUGAAAUUCGUAGAUAUUCGGUGGAACACCAGUGGCGA
RNAcentral lists this ribosomal RNA (550 nucleotides) under uncultured bacterium. RNAcentral describes it as "bacterial SSU rRNA". It matches the Rfam family "Bacterial small subunit ribosomal RNA", at positions 134 to 718 of the family's 1533-position model. The record is from RNAcentral.